Molecule: ribosomal RNA, 665 nt
Filed under: Bacillus sonorensis
Lineage: Bacteria; Bacillati; Bacillota; Bacilli; Caryophanales; Bacillaceae
Description: bacterial SSU rRNA
Rfam family: Bacterial small subunit ribosomal RNA
Source: RNAcentral
CUAUAAUGCAAGUCGAGCGGACAGAUGGGAGCUUGCUCCCUGAUGUUAGCGGCGGACGGGUGAGUAACACGUGGGUAACCUGCCUGUAAGACUGGGAUAACUCCGGGAAACCGGGGCUAAUACCGGAUGCUUGAUUGAACCGCAUGGUUCAAUUAUAAAAGGUGGCUUUUAGCUACCACUUACAGAUGGACCCGCGGCGCAUUAGCUAGUUGGUGAGGUAACGGCUCACCAAGGCAACGAUGCGUAGCCGACCUGAGAGGGUGAUCGGCCACACUGGGACUGAGACACGGCCCAGACUCCUACGGGAGGCAGCAGUAGGGAAUCUUCCGCAAUGGACGAAAGUCUGACGGAGCAACGCCGCGUGAGUGAUGAAGGUUUUCGGAUCGUAAAACUCUGUUGUUAGGGAAGAACAAGUACCGUUCGAAUAGGGCGGUACCUUGACGGUACCUAACCAGAAAGCCACGGCUAACUACGUGCCAGCAGCCGCGGUAAUACGUAGGUGGCAAGCGUUGUCCGGAAUUAUUGGGCGUAAAGCGCGCGCAGGCGGUUUCUUAAGUCUGAUGUGAAAGCCCCCGGCUCAACCGGGGAGGGUCAUUGGAAACUGGGGAACUUGAGUGCAGAAGAGGAGAGUGGAAUUCCACGUGUAGCGGUGAAAUGGCGUAGAA